UACGGAGGUUGCGAGCGUUGUUCGGAAUUACUGGGCGUAAAGGGAGCGCAGGCGGUUUGGUAAGUCUGAAGUGAAAGCCCGGGGCUCAACCCCGGAAGUGCUUUGGAUACUGCCAAACUGGAGUACGUGAGAGGAGAGCGGAAUUCAGGGUGUAGCGGUGAAAUGCGUAGAUAUCCUGAGGAACACCGGUGGCGAAAGCGGCUCUCUGGCACGAAACUGACGCUGAGGCUCGAAAGCGUGGGUAUCAAACGGG
Molecule: ribosomal RNA, 253 nt
Filed under: uncultured bacterium
Lineage: Bacteria
Description: partial 16S ribosomal RNA
Rfam family: Bacterial small subunit ribosomal RNA
Source: RNAcentral